This is a small nuclear RNA of Otolemur garnettii (small-eared galago), 106 nucleotides long. NCBI's taxonomy places the organism in Eukaryota, Metazoa, Chordata, Mammalia, Primates, Galagidae. The record is from Ensembl.
GUGCUGCUUUGGCAGCACAUUUACUAAAAUGAGAAUAAUACAGAGAAGAUUAGCAUGGCCCCUAUACAAGGAUGACAAGCAAAUCUGAGAUGCAUUUCAUAUUUUU